UACGGGGGGCGCAAGCGUUGUUCGGAUUUACUGGGCGUAAAGGGCUCGUAGGCGGCCAACUAAGUCAGACGUGAAAUCCCUCGGCUUAACCGGGGAACUGCGUCUGAUACUGGAUGGCUUGAGAUUGGGAGAGGGAUGCGGAAUUCCAGGUGUAGCGGUGAAAUGCGUAGAUAUCUGGAGGAACACCGGUGGCGAAGGCGGCAUCCUGGACCAACACUGACGCUGAGUGAGCGAAAGCCAGGGGAGCAAACGGG
This 254-nucleotide ribosomal RNA is filed under the name uncultured bacterium. RNAcentral's name for it is "partial 16S ribosomal RNA". It matches the Rfam family "Bacterial small subunit ribosomal RNA", at positions 524 to 776 of the family's 1533-position model. The record is from RNAcentral.